GAAAACAAAAUUGGCCCCUUCAAAUGAUUCAAAAAACUCUUACCUUUUUCUUUGAAUCAAGGUCUGGACCUCCACCAAUUAUUAAAUCCUGUACAGACUUUAAACUUGUAACACGCGUCGGGCAGAGAGAUUGCCCAUGAUGAGAUGACCUUUCGAUCAAAAGUCAGACCGUUCCAGAGUUGGAUGCGCCGAUACUGGUGGUUUCAAUUUACAAUCAGUCAGUUGAAAAUCUCCAAAUUUCGAUUGAUCCAAACCUCCAUUUCAGUUACGUGCCGCACCAGCGUGAUCAGCAUCAAAUUCGUACAAUCUUGUGAAAAAUCAUCAAAUGUUAAGAUGGAGUUUUGUCG
This 347-nucleotide long non-coding RNA is filed under the name Olea europaea (common olive). RNAcentral describes it as "long non-coding RNA (OEUR_LNC006501)". Lineage: Eukaryota; Viridiplantae; Streptophyta; Magnoliopsida; Lamiales; Oleaceae. The record is from RNAcentral.